Molecule: non-coding RNA, 1034 nt
Organism: Bemisia tabaci
Lineage: Eukaryota; Metazoa; Arthropoda; Insecta; Hemiptera; Aleyrodidae
Source: RefSeq, a predicted model, not a curated record
UAAGAAUAAUUUAAGAAUAACUUAAACAAUAAUUAUAACAAUGAAAAGGAAUAAAAGAAAAAAAUAUAAAUGCAACAAAGCUGCGACUAAAUCACAAAAGCUGCGACUUUUACCUACUUUUUUUGGCAUACCAUUGUCUGAAUCUAUAAAAUGUGAUAAUUACCCGCAAGAAUAUUCACCUCCUCUCGUAGCCAGUGAAAUUUUUCUUUCAAUGUAAUUUUUUGUGACUUAUUUUGAUUGCUAAAUGUGUUCAUGAUGUUAAUUAUUCAUCAAAUUUAUAUGCGAUUUAGUUGUUGUACAUUUUAAUAUACAUUAAUUUUGAAUUUGAAUAUAUUUCUUGAAUUUCGGACGAAAAUUGACUCUUGCUCUUCUUGAUUAUUCGUAGGUACUUAAAAAAAAAAGAAAAAGAAAAAAAAAAUACAAAAUACAUUACAACCUCCCCAGUUAGCAAGAUUGAGCUCCGUCAUUUGGAUCCAUUAGCCCGUACAGGAGCUCGCUCCAAUACUCGCGUUAUCCACAAAAUGUAGCAGUAGAUUGAAGAUGGCAUUGCUAAGCGCGCUCCUUACAGUCUCCGUCCACAGUCUCUAGCGGCAGAUUGGAGACUGAGUUGAUAAGCGCGCUUCUCACGGUGUUCAUCCACCGUCUCUAGCGGUUGAACGAAAAUGAGUCGGGAACGAGUCCAGGCGAGCGCAUCUAGCCGCGUGUGUAGUGCGUUUGGAGUUGCGGAGAAAUGCAGGAGUGUGGAUGCGCGCGCCGCGCGUCCUUCAACUCAACAGGCAAGUUGUUGUUAGUUGUGUUGUGAUUCAGGAUUCAGUUCUUAUGGAAUUGAUUGUAAAGUCCACUUGUUAAAUGGCCUCACUCCAGACGAGCAUCUGCACUCAGAUUUAUCCAAGUAUUCUGGAAUUUCCAAGCGGCUAAUAUUCUAUGAUCUGAUUGCCCAUCCUGUAUCUGAGCAAUCAUUGGUAGAGAGUUAGCAGCAAAAUCAAAUCACCUCAAAAUUCAUCAUUUAGUGCUUCAAACAACAUUGAUAUCAA